GAUGAACGCUGGCGGCGUGCCUAAUACAUGCAAGUCGAGCGAACGGACGAGAAGCUUGCUUCUCUGAUGUUAGCGGCGGACGGGUGAGUAACACGUGGAUAACCUACCUAUAAGACUGGGAUAACUUCGGGAAACCGGAGCUAAUACCGGAUGAUAUUUUGAACCGCAUGGUUCAAAAGUGAAAGACGGUCUUGCUGUCACUUAUAGAUGGAUCCGCGCUGCAUUAGCUAGUUGGUAAGGUAAUGGCUUACCAAGGCAACGAUGCAUAGCCGACCUGAGAGGGUGAUCGGCCACACUGGAACUGAGACACGGUCCAGACUCCUACGGGAGGCAGCAGUGGGGAAUAUUCCGCAAUGGGCGAAAGCCUGACCGAGCAACGCCGCGUGAGUGAUGAAGGUCUUCGGAUCGUAAAACUCUGUUAUUAGGGAAGAACAUAUGUGUAAGUAACUGUGCACAUCUUGACGGUACCUAAUCAGAAAGCCACGGCUAACUACGUG
This 497-nucleotide ribosomal RNA is filed under the name uncultured bacterium. RNAcentral's name for it is "partial 16S ribosomal RNA". It matches the Rfam family "Bacterial small subunit ribosomal RNA", at positions 28 to 507 of the family's 1533-position model. The record is from RNAcentral.